This 253-nucleotide ribosomal RNA is filed under the name uncultured bacterium. Its description in RNAcentral is "partial 16S ribosomal RNA". It matches the Rfam family "Bacterial small subunit ribosomal RNA", at positions 524 to 776 of the family's 1533-position model. The record is from RNAcentral.
UACGAAGGGUGCUAGCGUUGUUCGGAAUUACUGGGCGUAAAGCGCACGUAGGCGGAUUUGUUAGUCAGGGGUGAAAUCCCGGGGCUCAACCUCGGAACUGCCUUUGAUACUGCAAGUCUCGAGUCCGGAAGAGGUGAGUGGAAUUCCUAGUGUAGAGGUGAAAUUCGUAGAUAUUAGGAAGAACACCAGUGGCGAAGGCGGCUCACUGGUCCGGUACUGACGCUGAGGUGCGAAAGCGUGGGGAGCAAACAGG